RNAcentral lists this ribosomal RNA (312 nucleotides) under Triticum aestivum (bread wheat). RNAcentral's name for it is "partial small subunit ribosomal RNA". Lineage: Eukaryota; Viridiplantae; Streptophyta; Magnoliopsida; Poales; Poaceae. The record is from RNAcentral.
AUGGAUAACUGUGUUGAUUUCUUCAUGACUUCACUGCAAGGAAGUUCUGGUACAUUCUGGUUUUAUUUAAUGUAUGCAUUCUGCCUUUUUUUGGAAAAGAUAUCUCCAACAAGACAACAUAGUUCUGAAACUGAGUACUCCUAUAAGUUUGCCGGCCGCAAUUCCUUUGUCAAGCUUACUCAGUCAAGGCUACUCCCAACAUUGUUCGGUCAACCGAGCCUGAGUCUGACGACAAAUUUGAAGGCCAGCCCUACCCUGCCGAAUUCCAAGAAGAUGCAAGACGCAAAAAGGGCAGGUAGCUGUAGCCUGUAG